Molecule: ribosomal RNA, 495 nt
Filed under: uncultured bacterium
Lineage: Bacteria
Description: partial 16S ribosomal RNA
Rfam family: Bacterial small subunit ribosomal RNA
Source: RNAcentral
GAUGAACGCUGGCGGCGUGCCUAAUACAUGCAAGUAGAACGCUGAAGGAGGAGCUUGCUCUUCUGGAUGAGUUGCGAACGGGUGAGUAACGCGUAUGUAACCUGCCUGGUAGCGGGGGAUAACUAUUGGAAACGAUAGCUAAUACCGCAUGACAACAGUUAUUGCAUGAUAACUGUUUAAAAGGGGCAACUGCUCCACUACCAGAUGGACCUGCGUUGUAUUAGCUAGUUGGUGAGGUAACGGCUCACCAAGGCGACGAUACAUAGCCGACCUGAGAGGGUGAUCGGCCACACUGGGACUGAGACACGGCCCAGACUCCUAAGGGAGGCAGCAGUAGGGAAUCUUCGGCAAUGGACGGAAGUCUGACCGAGCAACGCCGCGUGAGUGAAGAAGGUUUUCGGAUCGUAAAGCUCUGUUGUAAGAGAAGAACGAGUGUGAGAGUGGAAAGUUCACACUGUGACGGUAUCUUACCAGAAAGGGACGGCUAACUACGUG